CAACAAUGUAUAAACAUAUAUCAUGACAAAAACAUACUAAGUAUUAUUAAUCGGCUAGCAAAGAGAAGUUAAACAUACGACAUGAAGUGAAUUAACUAGUGCGCACGGCUAGUUAAAAAACAAACUUCCUUCGACAAUAAGUUUCUAAUUAAAUCAUGGCUGCGCCUGGGCAGCGUUAUUGUGAGAGUGAAAGUGGAUGUGCUGCUACUCCCCUCAUUCCCAACAUGUAUCAAGUACCUGCAUUGAGUAAUGCAAGAGUGAGAUGACACAUCUCAGCAAGUAAAAUAAUAUCAAACUGUUAACCACAUAAGAACAUUGUUUUACCACCACUUGAUUCCACAACCUUCUUAUUACGAAGGUGCAGCAUGUAUACAACGUACAACACACCUAGUCACCACACCUUGCAGGUAGAAACCACAAUAGUAACAUAGUAAUGUCACACUUCAUAUAUAUACCUCAUGAGUGCAAAUGUCUGCAAAUGCAAGGAUGACUUCUGCCUUCAUACCUCUAAGGAUAUGAAGCCGCAUCGUACCCCUCCUCGGGCAACGUACGAUGCUAAAAAUGUACCGGUACGGUCGGACCAUAAGAUCACGACAUAACUUCAAAAUGCAAGAUGGAUGAUGCGAUGAUCAUGUCAUGCCUACAACACUUCAUAUAACGUGAUUCAAAAAAAUACUUCAACUUCAUCCAAGAUGGGAAUCAACCACAUAUAUCAUUACCAAAUUAUGAUCAUCCACAAUAUUAGACAAUUGAGAAUUAAUACUUCCAAACAAAUAAACUUCAUCAUAGAAUUCAAUGAUUAACAUAAUUAAAACUUAUGCAUACUCAAUGUCAGGGAAUAGGAUGCAACCCAAACGGUAGCAACCACCACUGUAUUUACUUGCCUUUACCGGAAGUUCGGGCAAAUCCCUAAGUACGAUCCGGAAGUCCACCACCUGUUUUUGACACACAACUUAGUGCACCAAUUUCACAUAAUCAGGCUCAUAAACGACGCCGCACCUACGCACAAACUCAAACCCCGUCGCGGGUUACAUCUCUCCCCACACCCACCAAACUGCAGCGGCGCUGCUUAAUAAUUUCAUAACUUUAAAAUUAUGACAGCAGUGGUAACAAACAAAAACUCCAGAGGCAUCUACAUGAAAUUCCCCACAAGUUUUGUAUACAAUUUAUAAUUAAAUUCCAACAUCUAAUUAGCCCAAAACAGUCCACAAGAUGAACCCUGUAAUCUGUUUUUUUGUCUUUUGGACAGCGACAUACCCGGAUUCAAACAGCGAUAUCUUUUAAAAUAUAAUUCCAAAUCAAGCACAUAAGUACUUAUUGGAAAGAUAAGACAAAGCCCUACAUGAUUAUCAUACUGGUUAACACUAAUUACCCACGAAAAAUUCCCAGAAACUGCUAAUACUACUGCUGUUCACCCACCUGAAAAAUCUGUUUUUUUGGACAGCAACAUAACCGGAUUCAAACAACGAUAUCUCCUAAAUUAUAACUCCAAAUCGAGCGCAUAAGUACUCGUUGGAAAGGUAUGACAAAGCUCUACAUGAUUCUCCCACUGAUCCCUACUAAUUUCCCACGAAAAAUUCCUAGAAAUCACUAGAACUACUGCUGUUCGUCCACCCACUAAAUUUCUGGACAGCACCUCUACCAAAUCGCAUAGGUAAACAUGUAACCAAUUGGAUUGCAGCACAAAUACAACAAAAUGAUCACGAAAAUCACCUUGGGUUCCUCCUUUCCUCCUUCUUUUCUUCCUUCUUCCUCCCUCCAAACUCCCAUGGAAGACUCGCACCCACACGACGGACACCAAGCGGGGAGGCUCCACCUUGGAGAGGAAGAGGUGGGGCUAGGGUUGAGGGGUGGCGCUGCAAUCACUUGGGGAAGAAGGAGAGGGAUUGGGGCGGCUGCAAGAGUGGAAGAGAGAGGGGAGGGGCGGCCAAAGGGGUG
Molecule: long non-coding RNA, 1938 nt
Filed under: Zea mays
Lineage: Eukaryota; Viridiplantae; Streptophyta; Magnoliopsida; Poales; Poaceae
Description: long non-coding RNA (ZMAY_LNC004821)
Source: RNAcentral